AACACUUCGUGUAUUAAAUGUAUUUGUUUGGGAUGUAUGGGGGUACGUAUUUGUUUGUCAACGUUUGAUAAGCUACAGCGCUGCCUCAAAAGUAUUCGCGGAAAAACAAAAUGGCAGCGUGAUUUAUUUUUAGAUAGCAAAUUAAAAAAAUUAUUCACAGCUAGAAUUCUUUGAUUGUUUACUAAUUUUGAGUUCUCUCCCGUACAUGUAUCACAUGACUAAUCAUCUGACUAGGUGACGUACCAAUGUUGUUGUCUGCUAUAUUUAUCAACCGGUGUUUUCCAACAUGGCACGAAAGUCGAAAGAAAUUAGCACUGAGCUUAGACAAGUGGUUGUUGAUUUAAAACGGGAGGGACACAGAAAUCGUGACAUUGAGAGAUUGUUGAAUAUAUCUGAGUCAAUAAUUCGAUCUAUAUGGCAAAAGUUUUGCAUCAAGGGAAAUGUGGAAAAUUUGUCCCGUUCCGGGAGACCUCGAAAAGUUACCAAACGAGCGGAGAGUAGACUUUUGCGCUUAGUAAAAAGAAACCGUGGAAGACAAUAACGGGACAUAACGAAUGAUUUCAACGAUGGAGGUGCAAUAAAUGUUCAUCACAAGACUGUCCAAAGGAUUUUACACAGGAAUAAGAUUUUUAAGCGAGUUGUAAGGAAGAAAAUGGUAGUCAGGGAGGUAAACAGAAAAAACGACUUUCAUGGUGUCUUGCGAGGAGAAAAUGGUCAGUUCAGAAUGAAUGGAAGCAAGUUAUUUUCAGUGAUGAAUCACAGAUUGUGAUAGGACAAAAUAAUCGUGUGUAUGUAUGGCGGUCUGCAAAUGAAGCUUACCGUCCGGAAUGCAUGUGUCGCUCAUUUCAGAAGCGAGUGACUGUAAUGAUAUGGGGUUGUAUAUCUUGGCAUGGUGUUGGCACUUUAUGUAAAGUAAACGGAAAUAUAAAUGCUGUAAAAUAUCAAGAAAUUCUCGAAUUCUUUGGCCUGUUUUAGCCCGUCAUUUCUCCAAUAGAAUUUAUCGGUUUCAAGAUGACAAUGCCCCUGUACAUCGAGCGCGAAUUAUUGAGGAAUACAAACACAAUCAUAAUAUUAACUGUUUGACCUGGCCUGCCCAGUCACCAGACCUAAACAUAAUUGAAAAUAUAUGGCUUCGCAUUAAAAGAGAACUUCAAUAUACCGCCCAAAACAUAAGGACCCCAGAUGAAAUUUUUAACGCCAUCAACGAACUGUGGACUUCUUAUCAACCCCAGUAUGUUCAAAAUUUAUACAAUUCACUUCCAAGGAAAAUACUGGCAGUCAUUCGCUCCAAAGGUUGCUUGACAAAGUAUUAAAGUAAGUCUGUUUAUCAUUUUAAGUAUUUAUUUCAGCUCUAAACUUUGGAGACAGAGUUUGUUUCCGCGAAUACUUUUGAGGCAGCGCUGUACCAUUGGUCAAAUUCAACGGAAGACUUAGACAAGACGACGAUGUUGCAGUGUAACUUGCAGAUCUAUGCAGGAGGCCUAGCUGUCUAGGAACCCUAGGCUCUAUCUAGUACAGUAGUAGCCAUAGUGGGACAUGAAAAGAACGUAUUAGACUCGGUGAAACCUACCAAAUAGGUGCUGUGAUGGUAUACAUACAUGACCUGCUUUGGUCUGAAUGGUUUGGUAUUAAACUAUGGACAUGACAGUGGUAUCAUCUGUGAAUGACUGACCAUGCUGAUUAUGUCAAAGCUAUGGAAUAUUUCUACAUAAAAGGUCAUCAUACUUAUCAAAGACACAACAGAAUGCAAUAUAUGCGAACAAAAAUGACCAAGACAAAAGAAAAAUGUUAUAUGGGGAUAUAGGAAGUGGAUCAUCCAUUUUCCUUGCCUUUCCCUCGAGGUCUUCAGACAGUGUCUCUAUACAUCAUUAACCAUGUUGAUUAGCUCUCAUGAUGUCAUGCCAUUACUGCCACAUUACCUAUAAUACUGCCAGACUACCUAUAAUAAUACCAAAAUAUCAGAAUUAAAAUUUCAAAUACACAAGAUUUGAAGCAGCAAAAGAAAAGAAUUGCAGGUGUAUAAUACACAAAAGGAUAUUGAUUCUUACCGGGCUGAAAUGAAUUAAUAGUUGAACUUUCAUUCAUCUGUUUUACUGCAUAACAGUCAACAUAAGGAGUACAGUCAUUGUUAUCAACCUGUGUAUAUAUGUUGAAUAGAUUAUGAAGAAAGAAAAUCAUGCUUAUUUUUCUUACUAAAUGAAAGAAGUGGGAGAGCACAUAAAUAUGAGUGGAAGUGUACAUACAUGUAAUUUCUGAUGUAUACAAAGCACACUGCUUGG
Ostrea edulis (European flat oyster) is the source of this 2279-nucleotide long non-coding RNA. RefSeq lists it as uncharacterized. The transcript has 3 exons. The record is from RefSeq and is a predicted model, not a curated record. NCBI's taxonomy places the organism in Eukaryota, Metazoa, Mollusca, Bivalvia, Ostreida, Ostreidae.